GGGUGCGGGCGAGGGCACAGCGCCUGUGUUAGCUCACUGGUGGUCACGGGGGGUUCCAGCGACCCUCUGCGUGGUUGGCGUUCCUGGCGAGACCUUAGCACACAGCUCUUUCUCUGACGGCGGCUGAGGGGGCUGCGAGCGUGUGGGGGGAACAGCGGGUUCCCGGGGCAGCCUCGUCCUUUCUCCUUGAGUAGGAGGCAGUGGCCGCAGGGGGAGCACGAGAAGAUGCCCAGCCUUGAACACAGCGAAUGGCACUAAACGUUGGAAACUCAGGAAAACUGGCCAGACGGACACAAGGAAGCCAUCCCCCCGCCUCUGAGGGCGCGUGCGACUCCUCCUGGACCACCAGCAGCAUCUGUCAGGUCACGGGACUGCCGAGGUCUGCACAGCGGGGGUCUGGCUGCUUAGUGGAAAUCUGAGGUUUUCUUCAAGUGCAGUGUGCCCUUAUUUAGUUUUUUUUUUUCUGAAGAUGGGUCAUUGGGGCCUGGAGGCGGCUGGGUGGAGAGGGUUCUGCACAGAUCCCGGGGGCUGGGCUUUUUCUUUCUGCCGAGGGAUCAAAGCUGGCAGGUGGACAAGGAGUGUCCGAGAGACAAUGUGCAGGGAUCACCAGGGACCCCUUGGGUUAGAGAUUUUAAUCUUUCCCCCAUAGCGAAGGGGUUGUGUGUGUGUGUGUAUUUGUUGUUGAGACUUUAAAGGUAAUUUAGAGAACAAAACUAAGGAAGUAAAUGUCACAUGAACUCUGCUGAAAGUGAGAUGCGGGCGUCUUUUCUACAGGUGCACGUUUCCCCCCCAAACGGGACUGUAUACAUGAUUUUGUGACCUGCAUUUGUUGCUUAACGGUAAAUCGUGGUGUCUUUUGUCGUCUCUUAAAAAUUUAUCUCUUAUAAAUAAUUUUAACUCA
Molecule: long non-coding RNA, 901 nt
Organism: Herpailurus yagouaroundi (jaguarundi)
Lineage: Eukaryota; Metazoa; Chordata; Mammalia; Carnivora; Felidae
Exons: 2
Source: RefSeq, a predicted model, not a curated record